UACGUAGGGGGCAAGCGUUGUCCGGAAUCAUUGGGCGUAAAGAGCGCGUAGGCGGUCCGGUAAGUCCGCUCUGAAAGUCCGGGGCUCAACCCCGGGAGGCGGGCGGAUACUGUCGGGCUAGAGUCCGGAAGAGGCGAGUGGAAUUCCUGGUGUAGCGGUGAAAUGCGCAGAUAUCAGGAGGAAUACCGAUGGCGAAGGCAGGUCUCUGGGCUGACACUGACGCUCAUGCACGAAAGCGUGGGGAGCAAACAGG
Molecule: ribosomal RNA, 253 nt
Filed under: uncultured bacterium
Lineage: Bacteria
Description: partial 16S ribosomal RNA
Rfam family: Bacterial small subunit ribosomal RNA
Source: RNAcentral